This is a long non-coding RNA of Balaenoptera acutorostrata (minke whale), 623 nucleotides long. RefSeq lists it as uncharacterized. NCBI's taxonomy places the organism in Eukaryota, Metazoa, Chordata, Mammalia, Artiodactyla, Balaenopteridae. The record is from RefSeq and is a predicted model, not a curated record. The transcript is spliced from 4 exons.
AGAAUAAACCACCCAAGGAAAGUGUACGGAGUGUUUGGUGGCGACUCCUUCGUAUUAAUGCUGAAUUUGGACGUCCUAAGUUUUCUCUUCCACCCCUGUUUGUGAAGAAUCUGGGGAGUUUGAGAACCCAGCAGCUUUUCACUGAGCAAGGAACUGAUCACACUGAAGUCUCCUGUCCAGUGGUCCCCCUCCCAUAGCCACAGUUCACAGUCAAGCUGACACUGCUGCCUUCUCAGGCCUAGGAACGGCAAUGGCUUUUCUUCUCAUGUUGCUUCAGGGAACAUGGGUUCGAGCCCUGGUCCAGGAGGAUCCCACAUGCUGUGGAGCAACUAAGCCCAUGCACCACAACUACUGAGCCUGCGCUCUAGAGCCUGUGAGCCACAACUACUGAGCCCAUGAGCCACAACUACUGAAGCCCACACACCUAAAGCCCGUGCUCCGUGACAAGAGAAGCCACCGCAAUGAGAAGCCUGUGCACCGCAGCGAAGAGUAGCCCCCGCUCGCCGCAACUCGAGAAAGCCCGUACACAGCAACAAAGACCCAACACAACCAAAAAUAAAUAAAUUAAUUUUUUAAAAAAAGCUUAAGAAAAAUAACAAUAAAGACUUUGUUUGGACUUAGAG